GAAAAUUUGAUCUAAGAUCCUAAGUGAAAAGAAAAAAGAACCUUCAUCAUGGCGGUGCCUGUGUUCUAGCAGUCUUUCUUCACACAAGAAUGCACCUCUUAUAAUAGAACUUCAAUAUGGGGGGAAAGAGGUUACAUCAGUUAUUAAAUGUGCUCACAAAGACUUUGAAUUGGAGGCACCCGACACAUUGCUGAUACUCUGUAUUCUUGGCAACAUCCUGAGCUUUGUAUAUGCAACCUUUACUCUGCAGCCAAGGACAAUCAAGUUUGUUAAAUUGCUUCAUGUUUUCAAGCAACGUUAUAAAGCAUUCUCGAGAAAAUUUUUCGGUCCGUCAUUCCUGACCUUUUUGAAACCAUGCCCCAGUAAGUAUUAAUACUGAUAAAAACCACAUUAUCUCUGUCAUUCACAGCAGAUACACAAACACAAGGUAACAAAACAUAGUUUCCGUGGUCCUUAUGACAUAUAAAUAUGACAAAAGUAGAAAUGAACUUUCUUUUUCAUGUGGAAGCAGAAUAAGCUCAUACAUUUUCUGGUAACAUUGACCCAUUCCUUGAAACUAUUCUAAUGAAA
Molecule: long non-coding RNA, 570 nt
Filed under: Chinchilla lanigera (long-tailed chinchilla)
Lineage: Eukaryota; Metazoa; Chordata; Mammalia; Rodentia; Chinchillidae
Description: lncRNA (ENSCLAG00000026085.1)
Source: RNAcentral